This 269-nucleotide ribosomal RNA is filed under the name uncultured bacterium. Its description in RNAcentral is "partial 16S ribosomal RNA". It matches the Rfam family "Bacterial small subunit ribosomal RNA", at positions 333 to 594 of the family's 1533-position model. The record is from RNAcentral.
CUGGGCCUACGGGACGCAGCAGUAGGGAAUCUUCCACAAUGGGCGAAAGCCUGAUGGAGCAACGCCGCGUGGGUGAAGAAGGUCUUCGGAUCGUAAAACCCUGUUGUUAGAGAAGAAAGUGCGUGAGAGUAACUGUUCACGUUUCGACGGUAUCUAACCAGAAAGUCACGGCUAACUACGUGCCAGCAGCCGCGGUAAUACGUAGGUGGCAAGCGUUAUCCGGAUUUAUUGGGCGUAAAGCGAGCGCAGGCGGUCGCUUAGGUCUGAUG